RNAcentral lists this long non-coding RNA (4001 nucleotides) under Sus scrofa (pig). RNAcentral's name for it is "lncRNA (ENSSSCG00000053816.1)". The record is from RNAcentral. Lineage: Eukaryota; Metazoa; Chordata; Mammalia; Artiodactyla; Suidae.
UGGUGUAUGUUAUCAGCAGAAUUUUAAUGUUCAAGAAAAGGGACACACAUAAGUUGAGAGUGCUAUUUACAGGCUUUCCUUCUCAUGAAUACACAUACAUACAUAUACAUAUACGUGUAUAAAAGCAUUGUGUACUCAAUAUCCUCUAUGUUUGUAUAAAUUCAAUUGGAUGUUAGGUGCAGAAUUUAGUUUAUUAUACCCACAGAGGGCUAGAGACAAGGUUAGACUAUAUAAAAGAGUUGUCUUUCCAUGGCUCAAUAAUUUUCCAUUCUGUCUGUCAAGAAAGCCAUGGAAAACAAUCAAUAAAAAGUGGACCUGAUGCAACACAAUGAGCUUGAACUAUGGAAAAAACGUGGCUGCAUUUAUCAACAAUGAACAGAAGCUGGAUCUGGGCCCUCUUCACAUGAUCCUUUGUUGAUUUAGGUACAGUAGUUGGCAUUUAUCAACAUGUGUGUUAACAGCGAACAUUUUUUGUUUAGAUUAGUGAGGAAUGUAAAAACCAAGGAAAGCAGGUAAAGAACAGUGCAUUGAGUAGUACAAAAGGAAAAGAAGAAUUAAGGUGAUUAAUAAGUCAUUUCAAAGAAUCAUUUUGAUCAUACACACAGUUUCCCAGUGCACUUGUGGGCAUUUAUCUUUAUAAUUCCGUAAUGUCCAUCACCUUGACAUUUCUGUCCUAUGUGGGAAGUAUACGCACUGAAGUAGCUCCUAUAGAAAGAUACUAUUACUACUAAACAACAAUAGUGAAAGACUAAUCUACCCCCCUUGAUUUCUACUUCAUUCUACACUUGCUAGACCUUGUGAAUAUUUUCUCCUCUUGCUGCAUAUAUACAUACAUAUAUGUAUACGCUUGAUGUUUAAGUAGGUCAUAUAGUCUUCCUUGACAAACAGUAUGUCUUCUAUUCUUCCUGCACAAUAUAAUUUCUUUAUUCUCUCUUCUUUGAAUGCUUUCUACUUCAUUUAUUUUAUAGUAGAUAAACAUGAACUGCCUGUGGAUAUUUGCUUAAUAAACGAAUAAAUGAAUGAAAUGCACAAACAUGUUUUUAGAUUCCCAACCCCUUGAGGGUGGGAAGCUUGUCUCAACUUUGCCCAUUAUAUCAUGACAAGAGUGUUCAAAAAACAAAAUAGCAAUCUCAGCACAUACAUUGACAUGAUUCCCUCCCAAGUGCCAAACCACUGAUACUAGACUCGAUGACAAAGUCCUUCUCAGUCUCAAGUCAAUUAAGACCCUUCCCAAUGAAUUACAAAUGGCCCCUGUAUCUGAGCCAUCAGUGGCUUUGAGUAGGUCCCCAGGGAGUGUUUGUCAAAUUGUGGAUGUCAUGUAACAUUUUCUAUUAAAACAGAGACCAAAAUGCAGAGAGACAAUGAGACAAAUGCAGCAAUGUAAUAUUGUGGAUUAAAUAACAAAAAUUCAAGUUUCUAUUAAAGAUAUCUGUGUUGUUUUAAGUGCAAGCACUGUAAGGGUCUGUAUUUAUUUAUUUACUUAUUUAUUUAGUCUUUUUAGGGCCGCACUUGCCGCAUAUGGAAGUUGCAGGCUAGGGGUUGAAUCAGAGCCACAGCUGCCAGCCUAGACCACAACCACAGCAAGCCCAGAUCCUAGCUGUGUCUGCGACCUACUCCACAGCUCAUGGUCACGUCAGAUCCUUAACCCACUGAGUGAUGCCAGGGAUCAAACCCGUGUCUUCAUGGAUACUAGUCGGGUUUGUUGCGGCUGAGCCACAACAGGUCGUGAAAGGGUCAUUAAUUAAUGUGUUAUUUCCUUGUUCCCAAAGGUACAAAGAGUGAUGAGCGUCAUUUUCACAUGUAUCCAGGUUAACAGUCACUGAGUGGCUCUGACCACGUAUCUACCCAGAAUGUUUGCCACACAUCCAUCCCGUGGCCAUCGGAGAGCCACAGACCUGGAGCGGUGAGCAGGACUGGGGAGGGGGCUCAAUUCCUAGCUAUUGUACUUCUCAGGGGUUUAAGUGGAAAAAGGCCUUUGAGAUGAAAAUAAGUUCUUGUAACUAAAUCUCCCAUAAGAGUUGAGCAAUAUAUUCUCUGGGCCUUGGAUUGGAAAUACCUCUUCGUUUCAUAUUUGUGGCUAAUGCCACCCAAAUGGUAAACUCACAUCCUGAUUGUGGUCUGUGCCAAAGACUUAAUUGAGAAUGCUGCUGGUUUCCCUCCUAUGUCCUUGAUUCUGCAAAUCGUUAGUGUGUGCUUUAACAAUGAGUUCAACUGAGGCAACACAAAACCAUGAAAAUUGAGGAUUCUGUCUUCAGAAAAGGAAGACCAACUUUUUUUCCAGUGGGCACUCAUCUUUGUUUUUAACUUCAUAGCUCAUACAUAUACAUAUGAAUGAUCACUUCUUUUACUGUACCUUACACUGAAUUAUAACCAUUUGAAUAUCGGUUUCUCCAGAUAGACACUCUAUGACAAGAAAUGAUUUUAUGCAUUUUUCCAUUCCCAGCUUCCAGGAUUAUGCCUGAAAUUCCUGGGAGGUCUUUGAACCUUCCCUGAAGUUGAAUCUGUAAGUAUAUUUAAAUUCUCCAAGCUUUAGUUUUCCACGUGCGAGAUGUCGUUAUGCGUAAGCAGAGGAGUUCCUGGCACAACAGGUUAUAAUCGCAGGCAGGUAUGGGUGGAGAAGGAAAAAUGUUUUAUUUUGUUUUGAUUUGCUUUGCAGAUAGCCUUGCAAGAUAAAGAAAUUAGCUGGAUUCAUUUGAAUAUUUCUCUCAAUUUCUUUUUAGAGAGUCAGGGAGUUCAUAUGCCUGUGAAACUCUUCAUACGAGAGGAUGGAGCUUCCCACUGCCUGGAAGAAAGACAAGCUUCUUUCACUAGCGCUGACUUAGAAUCAUGUAUGGAACAGAGUAGAAAGAAAUCUAGUGUCCACUGUCUAAGUGUUUAGCGGCUCCCGAGAAAAGUAAACCUUUAAAAUAGCCACGGGAUGUGUUCAUUAGAGAGCACCUUAUGCCUUUGAAGAAAUCUCUGCUCAGGCACUGUUUCUUUUCAGGCAUUUCCUACACUUUUGUUGCUGAGUCUUGGCAGAUCUCAGAAAAGUUUUGGCUUUGUCUGGUUGCCUAAUGCCUGAGGCUGGGGCAGAGUCUCCAUUCAUCUCCAUCUAGAUCCUAUCCCCACCCCACCCCUACGGUGUCUUUUCUUUGUGCUGGGCCACAUUGGAUUUCAAAAGGAACUGUGGAUUAAAAAACAAAUACAGCUCAAUGGGAAGGGAGGGGAUAAGCGGAUGCCUUGUGGUGUAAGAAGUUCCUCAAAUUUCCUAAAAUAAAAAUCUCUGUGUUUUUACACAGAAUCUGGCCUUGAGCCAUUCGGUAAUAUCAAUAAAGUAUCCUUUUCUGCCAUCUUUAAGGAAACAGAUUUCCCUAAAUCAGAAAGAGAACAUUCCUUUCACUGUAAACUAUGUGCUUGCUCUUCCUACUUUGAAUUCCCAGUGAACAUAUAAUGUUAAAAAUAGGCACAAUCCUGGUAUGCCUGUGAACCAGUCAAUGACUUUUAAUAGAUACCAAGUCCAGUGAUUAAUCUGGGAAAAUAUAUGGAACAAAAGGAACAAUUGUCUCCUUCUUGUGUUCUGGAGGGUGUGAAAUGGAGCGUUAUCAUCAUUAUAAGUUGUCAUGUCACCAGUCUCAGACAGAUACUAUUGGUGUAAAAAUGCAGUAUUAGAUUUUUUUAUCCAGCCAGUUCUUCUAGCACUUAAUAGAUAAUUCAGCCACAAAGAGAGUAGAUUUAUUUUUGUCUCUAGCUACAUUGUCUACACUAUUUGGGGAUAAUUCUAAGAACCCCACUUCAGGAGUUUCCAUGGUGGCUCAGUGAAUUACGAACCCCGCUAUUAUCCAUGAGGAUGUGGGUUCAAUCCCUGGCCUCUCUCAGUGGGUUAAGGAUCCAGUGUGGCAGUAAGCUGUGAUGUAGAUCGCAGACGUGGCUCAGAUACUGCAUUGCUCUAGCUGUGGCUGUGGCUGGCAACUGCAGCUCCAAUUCAACCUCAACCUGGGAACUUCCCUAUGCCAUAGGUGUGG